RNAcentral lists this unclassified non-coding RNA (712 nucleotides) under Melitaea cinxia (Glanville fritillary). RNAcentral's name for it is "misc RNA ENSMCXG00005013570.1". Lineage: Eukaryota; Metazoa; Arthropoda; Insecta; Lepidoptera; Nymphalidae. The record is from RNAcentral.
UUGAAAUACACAGGCUGAAGACGGGCAGCGGCGUCUUCGGUGCGACAAAGCCAGCCCUGCGGUCACCAACCCGCCUGCCCAGCGUAGUGAAUGCCCAACAAGUCUGGAAGUGUUGUCCGCACGUCAUAGGGCACACCCUCCGAAGACCAGAGGACAACACUGCCAGGGCCGCGUUCACGUGGAGGCCGCGCGGGGGCCGGCUGGCGCACACGUGGCAGCGAACUGUCGACGCCGAGCUGCGAGCAGCUGGGCUUAAUUGGAGGGACGUGGAGCGAGUGACACAGGACAAAAGCGGAUGGAAACGUCUUACGAAGGCCCUCUGUACCGUUGGGAUAUCAUAGGACAGCAACAACCCAACAAAUCUAAUUUUCUUAAAAUAAGAAUGAAUAUACCUAUGUAAAUUCCUUUAUAUAUUCACUACUAGCUGUUACGCGGUUUCACACGUGAUAAUUCGAGGAGGAACCAGCCUAAAUCCAACACAAAAAGAUUUUCCAGAUCCGAACCAGUAUUUCCUGAGAUUAGCGCGCUUACAAAAAUCGUCUAUAUCAUAUCAUUAUUAUGGAUUUAUUAAAUUGUACGGCUCCAGCUUUUCCGGCUAAUACUCAAUAUUAAUAGAAACUUCAGAUAACUUCACGAAACGUAAAUUUUAUAUAACUACUAGCUGACCCGGCGAACUUCGUAUCGCCUAACACAAACUAUCGUAUGGUAUUAA